UACGGGAGGCAGCAGUGGGGAAUAUUGCACAAUGGGCGCAAGCCUGAUGCAGCCAUGCCGCGUGUAUGAAGAAGGCCUUCGGGUUGUAAAGUACUUUCAGUCGUGAGGAAGGUGUUAAGGUUAAUAACCUUAGCAAUUGACGUUAGCGACAGAAGAAGCACCGGCUAACUCCGUGCCAGCAGCCGCGGUAAUACGGAGGGUGCGAGCGUUAAUCGGAAUUACUGGGCGUAAAGGGCACGCAGGCGGUUAAUUAAGUUGGAUGUGAAAUCCCCGGGCUUAACCUGGGAAUGGCAUUCAAGACUGGUUAGCUAGAGUCUUGUAGAGGGGGUAGAAUUCCAUGUGUAGCGGUGAAAUGCGUAGAGAUGUGGAGGAAUACCUGUGGCGAAAGCGGCCUCCUAAACGAAUACUGACACUGAGGGUGCGAAAAGCGUGGGGAGCAAAACAGGAUUAGAUACC
This 456-nucleotide ribosomal RNA is filed under the name uncultured bacterium. RNAcentral's name for it is "bacterial SSU rRNA". It matches the Rfam family "Bacterial small subunit ribosomal RNA", at positions 340 to 786 of the family's 1533-position model. The record is from RNAcentral.